RNAcentral lists this ribosomal RNA (785 nucleotides) under uncultured Glomus. RNAcentral describes it as "SSU rRNA". It matches the Rfam family "Eukaryotic small subunit ribosomal RNA", at positions 325 to 1111 of the family's 1831-position model. Lineage: Eukaryota; Fungi; Glomeromycota; Glomeromycetes; Glomerales; Glomeraceae. The record is from RNAcentral.
AUGGUAGGAUAGAGGCCUACCAUGGUGGUAACGGGUAACGGGGUGUUAGGGCACGACACCGGAGAGGGAGCCUGAGAAACGGCUACCACAUCCAAGGAAGGCAGCAGGCGCGCAAAUUACCCAAUCCCGACACGGGGAGGUAGUGACAAUAAAUAACAAUACAGGGUUCUUUGAAUCUUGUAAUUGGAAUGAGUACAAUUUAAAUCUCUUAACGAGGAACAAUUGGAGGGCAAGUCUGGUGCCAGCAGCCGCGGUAAUUCCAGCUCCAAUAGCGUAUAUNAAAGUUGUUGCAGUUAAAAAGCUCGUAGUUGAAUUUCGGGAUCAAUACGUCGGUCGUGCUUUCGGGUACGUACUGGCGUCAUUGGUUUCUCCUUUCUGACGAACCAUGAUGUCAUUAAUUUGGUGUUAUGGGGAGUUAGGACUGUUACUUUGAAAAAAUUAGAGUGUUUAAAGCAGGCAUUAGCUUGAAUACAUUAGCAUGGAAUAAUGAAAUAGGACGUUCGAUCCUAUUUUGUUGGUUUCUAGGAUCAACGUAAUGAUUAAUAGGGAUAGUUGGGGGCAUUAGUAUUCAAUUGUCAGAGGUGAAAUUCUUGGAUUUAUUGAAGACUAACUACUGCGAAAGCAUUUGCCAAGGAUGUUUUCAUUAAUCAAGAACGAAAGUUAGGGGAUCGAAGACGAUCAGAUACCGUCGUAGUCUUAACCAUAAACUAUGCCGACUAGGGAUCGGAUGAUGUUAAUUUUUUAAUGACUCAUUCGGCGCCUUACGGGAAACCAAAGUGUUUGGG